RNAcentral lists this long non-coding RNA (1578 nucleotides) under Triticum aestivum (bread wheat). Its description in RNAcentral is "long non-coding RNA (TAES_LNC001455)". Lineage: Eukaryota; Viridiplantae; Streptophyta; Magnoliopsida; Poales; Poaceae. The record is from RNAcentral.
AUCUACGCCCGCUUGUCUUCCUCAUGGACUCGUUCUCCUUUCUUGCGGGAUUUCAGGCAAGAUGACCAUACCCUUGAAAUCACUUCUAUCUUUGCUUGCUAGUGGCUCUCUCUUUUGCUAUGCCUAUGCUGCGAUACCUACCACUUGCUUAUCAUGCCUCCCAUAUUGUUAAACCAAGCCUAUAACCCACCUUGUCCUAGCAAACCGUUGUUUGGCUAUGUUAUCGCUUUGCUCAGCCCCUCUUAUAGCGUUGUUAGUUGCAGGUGAAGAUUGAAGUUUGUUCCUUGUUGGAACAUGGAGAUGUUGUUCCUUGUUGGAACAUGUUUAUUGUUGGGAUAUCACAAUAUCUCUUAUGUAAUUAAUACAUCUAUAUACUUGGUAAAGGAUGGAAGGCUCGCCCUUAUGCCUGGUGUUUUGUUCCACUCUUGUCGCCCUAGUUUCCGUCAUAUCGGUGUUAUGUUCCCGGAUUUUGCGUUCCUUACGCGGUUGGGUUAUAAUGGGAACCCCUUGACAGUUCGCCUUGAAUAAAACUCCUCCAGCAAGGCCCAACAUUGGUUUUACCAUUUGCCACCUAGCCUUUUCUUUCCCUUGAGUCAGCCGGCUCAAGGGUCAUGUUAUUUUAACCCCCCCGGGCCAGUGCUUCUCUAAGUGUUGGUCCAACCUAGAGCACCGUGCGGGGCCGUCCCUUGGCAACUUGGGUUACGUUGGCUCCCGUACGCUUAGCUUAUCCGGUGUGCCCUGAGAACGAGAUAUGUGGAGCGCCUAUUGGGAUUUGUCGGCACAGCGGGUGGUCUUGCUAGACUUGUUUUACCAUUAUCGAGGAUGUCUUGUAACCGGGAUUUCGAGUCUGAUCGGGUCUUCCCGCUAGAAGGAAUAUCCUUCGUUGACCGUGAGAGCUUGUGAUGGGCUAAGUUGGGACACCCCUGCAGGGUUUUAAACUUUCGAAAGCCGUGCCCGCGGUUAUGGGCAGAUGGGAAUUUGUUAAUGUACGGUUGUAGAAAACUUGAAGUUGACUUUAAUUAAAACACAUCAACCGCGUGUGUAGCCGUGAUGGUCUCUUCUCGGCGGGGUCCGGGAAGUGAAGACGGCGUUGGAGUUAUGCUUGACGUAAGUUGUUCUAGGAUCACUUCUUGAUCAUAGUUUCUCGUCCAUGCUUUGCCUUCUCUUCUCGCUCUCAUUUGCGUAUGUUAGCCGCCAUAUAUGCUAGUCGCUUGCUGCAGCUCCACCUCAUACCUUUUACCUUUCCCAUAAGCUUAAAUAGUCUUGAUCACGAGGGUGUGAUAUUGCUGAGUCCUUGUGACUCACAGAUACUUCCAAAACCAGCUUGCAGGUGCCGUUGAACCGUGCAGAUGACGCAACCAAGCUCAAGGAGGAGCUCGAUGAAGAUCUUGCCCUUUGUGUUGUUUCGUUCUAGUUGAUCAGUAGUGGAGCCCAGUUGGGGUCGGUCUGGGAUCUGUGUAGCAGUUGGGGUAGUCUUCUUUUAUUUUGGUUCCGUAGUCGGACCUUGUUUGUAUCUGGAUGAUGUAAUGCUUUAUUCAUGUAAUUGUGUGAAGUGGCGAUUGUAAGCCAACUAUGUAU